GAUUAUGGCUCAGGACGAACGCUGGCGGCGUGCCUAACACAUGCAAGUCGAACGGACGAGAGGAGCUUGCUCCUCAAGUUAGUGGCGGACGGGUGAGUAACACGUGAGCAACCUGCCCUUCGGAGGGGGACAACAGCUGGAAACGGCUGCUAAUACCGCAUGACACAGCGGGGAGGCAUCUCCCUGCUGUCAAAGAAUUUUAUCGCCGAAGGAGUGGGCGUCGCGUCUGAUUAGAUAGUUGGUGAGGUAACGGCCCACCAAGUCAACGAUCAGUAGCCGGACUGAGAGGUGAACGGCCACAUUGGGACUGAGAUACGGCCCAGACUCCUACGGGAGGCAGCAGUGGGGAAUAUUGGGCAAUAGGGGGGCGAACCCCUGACCCAGCAACGCCGCGUGAAGGAAGAAGGCUUCGGGUUGUAAACUUCUUUGACGAGGGACGAUAGUGACGGUACCUCGAAAACAAGCCACGGCUAACUACGUGCCAGCCGCCGC
This 492-nucleotide ribosomal RNA is filed under the name uncultured bacterium. Its description in RNAcentral is "bacterial SSU rRNA". It matches the Rfam family "Bacterial small subunit ribosomal RNA", at positions 15 to 518 of the family's 1533-position model. The record is from RNAcentral.